UACAGAGGUCUCAAGCGUUAAUCGGAGUCACUGGGCUUAAAGCGCGCGUAGGCGGCUUUGCAAGUCGGGUGUGAAAUCCCCAGGCUUAACCUGGGAACUGCAUUCGAGACUGCAUUGCUAGAGUAUGGGAGGGGAAGUGGAAUUUCCGGUGUAGCGGUGAAAUGCGUAGAUAUCGGAAGGAACAUCAGUGGCGAAAGCGACUUCCUGGACCAAUACUGACGCUCAUGUGCGAAAGCGUGGGGAGCAAACAGG
RNAcentral lists this ribosomal RNA (252 nucleotides) under uncultured bacterium. RNAcentral's name for it is "partial 16S ribosomal RNA". It matches the Rfam family "Bacterial small subunit ribosomal RNA", at positions 524 to 776 of the family's 1533-position model. The record is from RNAcentral.